Molecule: ribosomal RNA, 376 nt
Filed under: uncultured organism
Description: partial 16S ribosomal RNA
Rfam family: Bacterial small subunit ribosomal RNA
Source: RNAcentral
GAAAGGGGGCUAGCGUUGUUCGGAAUUACUGGGCGUAAAGCGCGCGUAGGCGGCCUGGUAAGUCGGGGGGGUGAAAUCCUGGGGGGGCUCAACCCCGGGAAUUGCCUUCGAAACUGCUAAGCUUGAGGCUGCGAGAGGUGAGCGGAAUUCCGAGUGUAGAGGUGAAAUUCGUAGAUAUUCGGAAGAACACCAGUGGCGAAGGCGGCUCACUGGAGCAGAUCUGACGCUGAGGCGCGAAAGCGUGGGGAGCAAACAGGAUUAGAUACCCUGGUAGUCCACGCCGUAAACGAUGAGGGCUAGUUGUCGGGCGGCAUGCCGUUCGGUGACGCAGCUAACGCAUUAAGCCCUCCGCCUGGGGAGUACGGUCGCAAGAUUA